Molecule: transfer-messenger RNA, 397 nt
Filed under: Erysipelotrichaceae bacterium
Lineage: Bacteria; Bacillati; Bacillota; Erysipelotrichia; Erysipelotrichales; Erysipelotrichaceae
Rfam family: transfer-messenger RNA
About the family: Bacterial tmRNA, also known as 10Sa RNA or SsrA, is named for its dual tRNA and mRNA-like properties. Its role is to liberate the mRNA from a stalled ribosome.
Source: RNAcentral
GGGGCUGCACUGGUUUCGACAGGGAUGUCGCUUUGCUUAUGCUGCAGUCGAGUGGUGACGUAAUUACCAAAACAAAAUAACUGCCAAUCGUGGUUAUAUGAGCGCACCUCGCGCUCAAGUUUGCUGCGCUGCUUAAUAGCUUCCGACAUAGGAACCGACCAACUGGCCGGACAGCACGGACUCUAGGGUUUAGCCCAUCACGCCUAGAUCAUCCGUCAUACCAAUGGGAUAAGAUCUAACAGUAGUUAAGUUAGUUAGAUACUAAAAUUUGUUUGGCUCGCAAUUCAUGUUUUGUCAAUAUUGUUGAUGAAUUGUUAAAUGAUCAAUGUUGUCUAAACUGUAGAUGCGUUUGACAGGCCAUCCUUGGACACGAGUUCAAUUCUCGUCAGCUCCACCA